AUACUUACCUGGCAGGGGAGAUACCAUGAUCAAGAAGGUGGUUCACCCAGGGCGAGGCUUAACCAUUGCACUCCGGUUAUGCUGACCUGACCCGUGCGAAUUCCCCAAAUGUGGGAAUCUCGACUGCAUAAUUUGUGGUAGUGGGGACUGCGUUCGCGCUCUCCCCU
This is a small nuclear RNA of Perca flavescens (yellow perch), 167 nucleotides long. RefSeq annotates it as U1 spliceosomal RNA. NCBI's taxonomy places the organism in Eukaryota, Metazoa, Chordata, Actinopteri, Perciformes, Percidae. The record is from RefSeq and is a predicted model, not a curated record. The transcript has a single exon.